This is an RNA transcript of Cucumis melo (muskmelon), 2139 nucleotides long. It is a transcript of the gene named pyruvate kinase, cytosolic isozyme, with no coding region annotated. The transcript has 5 exons. The record is from RefSeq and is a predicted model, not a curated record. NCBI's taxonomy places the organism in Eukaryota, Viridiplantae, Streptophyta, Magnoliopsida, Cucurbitales, Cucurbitaceae.
AUAUAAUUUUACAAACGCAGUAUAUGUAAAGAAGCAUAAACGGUGGUAGCCGAAGCUUUGAAGCACACAGAACUCAACACUACAAAACCAAACAGAUUUCAAGAACUAGAAGAAGAAGAAGAAUAGUUCAAGUUUGUAGUUGAAGCCAUUAGUGUCCUCAUCAGCAAAAGGAAGGGGAGGAAGAAAUAGUAAGUUGCAGAUGGCCAAUAUUGAUAUUGAAGGGAUUCUUAAGGAACUUCCUAAUGAUGGGCGUAUUCCCAAAACGAAAAUUGUUUGUACUUUGGGACCUGCUUCUCGAUCGGUGACUAUGAUCGAGAAGCUUCUUAGGGCUGGUAUGAAUGUUGCUCGUUUCAAUUUUUCUCACGGUACACAUGAGUAUCAUCAAGAGACUUUGAACAAUCUCAGGACCGCCAUGCAGAAUACUCAAAUCCUUUGCGCCGUCAUGCUUGAUACUAAGGGACCAGAAAUUCGGACUGGUUUCUUGAAGGAUGGGAAACCAAUUCAACUGAAAGAAGGCCAAGAAGUGAUCAUAACUACGGAUUAUAGCAUCAAGGGGGAUGAAGAAAUGAUCUCAAUGAGUUAUCAGAAGCUUGCUGUGGACUUGAAGCCAGGAAAUAAUAUAUUGUGUUCAGAUGGCACAAUCACCCUCACAGUCUUGUCUUGUGAUCCAGAAGCUGGGAGGGUGGUAUGUCGUUGUGAAAACACAGCAAUGUUGGGAGAGAGAAAGAAUGUGAAUCUUCCUGGUGUAGUGGUAGAUCUUCCCACUCUGACAGAAAAGGAUAAAGAAGAUAUUCUUGGUUGGGGUGUUCCCAAUAGUAUUGAUAUGAUUGCCCUUUCGUUUGUUCGCAAGGGUUCUGAUCUCGUCACUGUCCGCAAGAUUCUUGGCCCCCAUGCCAAACAUAUAAAACUGAUGUCAAAGGUUGAGAACCAGGAGGGAGUUAUCAAUUUUGAUGAAAUUUUGCGUGAGACUGAUGCAUUCAUGGUUGCUCGAGGUGAUCUUGGAAUGGAAAUUCCAGUUGAGAAGAUCUUCUUGGCACAAAAAAUGAUGAUUUACAAGUGUAAUCUUGCUGGCAAGCCUGUGGUUACAGCUACACAGAUGCUUGAAUCAAUGAUCAAAUCUCCACGGCCAACCCGUGCAGAGGCUACAGAUGUCGCUAAUGCUGUUCUUGAUGGCACUGAUUGCGUUAUGCUUAGUGGUGAGAGUGCAGCUGGGUCUUACCCUGAAAUUGCUGUAAAGAUCAUGGCUCGUAUUUGUAUUGAAGCAGAAUCAUCCUUGGACUAUGGUGUUGUUUUUAAGGAGAUGAUAAGGGCCACCCCACUUCCAAUGAGUCCAUUGGAGAGUCUUGCUUCCUCAGCCGUUCGAACUGCUAACAAGGCAAGAGCAAAACUCAUCGUCGUGUUGACUCGUGGUGGAACCACUGCCAAGUUGGUUGCUAAGUAUAGGCCAGCUGUUCCCAUCCUCUCAGUCGUCGUUCCAGUUUUAACUACCGAUUCUUUCGAUUGGACUUGCAGCGACGAAUCCCCAGCCAGACACAGCCUGAUCCACAGAGGCUUGAUUCCUAUAUUGGCUGAAGGAUCUGCUAAGGCCACAGAUGCCGAAUCCACAGAAGUAAUACUUGAAGCUGCACUGAAAUCCGCUAUGGGGAAAGGACUGUGCAAACCUGGGGAUGCCAUUGUCGCACUUCACCGAAUUGGAGCUGCCUCCGUCAUCAAGAUAUGCAUUGUGAAAUGAAUCAAAUAAACAAGCAAAUUCGGCAUCUGACUCCUUCAUCCAGAAGUUGCUCAGACCAAAUCUCAACUAGAGAAUAAGAAGGUUUCAAAGUGGUGGUGUCUCCCAAUUUAGAGUUUUGUAGAUACAGAUACGUCAACGAUCGUAAGUUUCCAAUUCUCUGUAUUUCUGUUAUUCCAUUAUUUCAAAGCAUGCUUAGCCAUAGAUAAAGUUUUGCCAAUGUAUUGAAAUUUUUUAGGUUCCCAGUUCGUAAUUAAAUUGAGGUAUCUGUUAAUUCUUCCACUGCGCAGGGCUUUUAUCCUUUUCGGGUUAUCACUGUUGAGUUGGGUUAUGGUAAUCCAACCAUUGUUUGCGGGAAGGGUUAUCAUAACUCUUCUUCUCUCUCUCCUUCUUAAAACAUCUUUCAACUC